GACGAACGCUGGCGGCGUGCUUAACACAUGCAAGUCGAACGGAAAGGCCCUGCUUUUGUGGGGUGCUCGAGUGGCGAACGGGUGAGUAACACGUGAGUAACCUGCCCUUGACUUUGGGAUAACUUCAGGAAACUGGGGCUAAUACCGGAUAGGAGCUCCUGCUGCAUGGUGGGGGUUGGAAAGUUUCGGCGGUUGGGGAUGGACUCGCGGCUUAUCAGCUUGUUGGUGGGGUAGUGGCUUACCAAGGCUUUGACGGGUAGCCGGCCUGAGAGGGUGACCGGCCACAUUGGGACUGAGAUACGGCCCAGACUCCUACGGGAGGCAGCAGUGGGGAAUAUUGCACAAUGGGCGGAAGCCUGAUGCAGCAACGCCGCGUGCGGGAUGACGGCCUUCGGGUUGUAAACCGCUUUCGCCUGUGACGAAGCGUGAGUGACGGUAAUGGGUAAAGAAGCACCGGCUAACUACGUGCCAGCAGCCGCGGUGAUACGUAGGGUGCGAGCGUUGCCCGGAUUUAUUGGGCGUAAAGGGCUCGUAGGUGGUUGAUCGCGUCGGAAGUGUAAUCUUGGGGCUUAACCCUGAGCGUGCCUUCGAUACGGGUUGACUUGAGGAAGGUAGGGGAGAAUGGAAUUCCUGGUGGAGCGGUGGAAUGCGCAGAUAUCAGGAGGAACACCAGUGGCGAAGGCGGUUCUCUGGGCCUUUCCUGACGCUGAGGAGCGAAAGCGUGGGGAGCGAACAGGCUUAGAUACCCUGGUAGUCCACGCUGUAAACGGUGGGUACUAGGUGUGGGGUCCAUUCCACGGGUUCCGUGCCGUAGCUAACGCUUUAAGUACCCCGCCUGGGGAGUACGGCCGCAAGGCUAAAACUCAAAGGAAUUGACGGGGCCCCGCACAAGCGGCGGAGCAUGCGGAUUAAUUCGAUGCAACGCGUAGAACCUUACCUGGGUUUGACAUGGAUCGGGAGUGCUCAGAGAUGGGUGUGCCUCUUUUGGGGUCGGUUCACAGGUGGUGCAUGGCUGUCGUCAGCUCGUGUCGUGAGAUGUUGGGUUAAGUCCCGCAACGAGCGCAACCCUUGUUCACUGUUGCCAGCACGUUAUGGUGGGGACUCAGUGGAGACCGCCGGGGUCAACUCGGAGGAAGGUGGGGAUGACGUCAAGUCAUCAUGCCCCUUAUGUCCAGGGCUUCACGCAUGCUACAAUGGCUGGUACAGAGAGUGGCGAGCCUGUGAGGGUGAGCGAAUCUCGGAAAGCCGGUCUCAGUUCGGAUUGGGGUCUGCAACUCGACCUCAUGAAGUCGGAGUCGCUAGUAAUCGCAGAUCAGCAACGCUGCGGUGAAUACGUUCCCGGGGCU
RNAcentral lists this ribosomal RNA (1346 nucleotides) under uncultured bacterium. RNAcentral describes it as "partial 16S ribosomal RNA". It matches the Rfam family "Bacterial small subunit ribosomal RNA", at positions 28 to 1381 of the family's 1533-position model. The record is from RNAcentral.